Molecule: ribosomal RNA, 253 nt
Filed under: uncultured bacterium
Lineage: Bacteria
Description: partial 16S ribosomal RNA
Rfam family: Bacterial small subunit ribosomal RNA
Source: RNAcentral
UACGAAGGGGGCUAGCGUUGCUCGGAAUUACUGGGCGGAAAGAGCGCGUAGGCGGACCUGUCAGUCAGGCGUGAAAGCCCAGGGCUCAACCCUGGAACUGCGCUUGAUACUGCGGGUAUAGAGUGCCGGAGAGGAUGGUGGAAUUCCCAGUGUAGAGGUGAAAUUCGUAGAUAUUGGGAAGAACAUCGGUGGCGAAGGCGGCCAUCUGGACGGCAACUGACGCUGAGGCGCGAAAGCGUGGGGAGCAAACAGG